AUAAAUUAAAAGAAUACUAGAACACACCCGCGAAAUCGCAGGGAAAUAGAGCGUAUGUAAACUGUAAAAAAAUAUACUGACUGGAGAAUUUCAGGAGAGAUAUCAAAAGUCAAAGGUACUUAGGGACUGGGCACAUUUUUUGCCCUCCCCCUAUUUUUCAAAUACCGAUUUUUAUAUUUGUUGAUUAUAUGGGGAAUCACUGAAGCAUGAGAGGAACGCCCCCCCCUUUUUAGGUCAGUCAGUGCCCCCUCCCUUAUGAAAAGUUCUGGAUCCGCCACUGUAAACUUAUUGAUAGUAAAUAGCAAAUAUUAUUCAUUUUCGUUUUCCUCCCAAAAUAACCCAAACUGAAACACGUUAAGCAAGUAUGAUACAGGCUAGAACUCAAAAUGAUAGCAGAAAGCAAAUUUAUAUACUUUAUUCAUAGUCUUUGUAUGUUCAAGGUACAGAAAAGGAAUUUAUAGUAAAUUAUAACAAAUACAGUUAUUCAUAGUAAAUGUAUGUAAGUAUGUACAGAAAUAUAUCCGCAGUGACCGCCGUUGAUUAUAAACCAUAGGCGGAUCCCAUGGGGGGCCUGGAGGCCCUGCCCCCGUUUUCGUUGAAAAAAUUUGUUGAUUAUAUGGGGAAUCACUGAAGCAUGAGAGGAACGCCCCCCCUUUUUUAGGUCAGUCAGUGCCCCCCU
Molecule: long non-coding RNA, 679 nt
Filed under: Mytilus galloprovincialis (Mediterranean mussel)
Lineage: Eukaryota; Metazoa; Mollusca; Bivalvia; Mytilida; Mytilidae
Source: RNAcentral